This 26-nucleotide non-coding RNA is filed under the name Cricetulus griseus (Chinese hamster). The record is from RNAcentral. Lineage: Eukaryota; Metazoa; Chordata; Mammalia; Rodentia; Cricetidae.
GAAAGAGUUGUGCGUCGAAGAGCUGU